CGUCGAGAUGUAAGGGCACAUGGUGGAUGCCUAGACAUUGUAUAGCUAUGAAGGACGUAGCAACCUGCGAAAAGCUUCGGCGAGGUGGUAAGCAACCUUUGACCCGGAGAUCUCCGAAUGAGGCAACUCACUAACGUAGACCGUUAGUAUCUUCUAUCUAAUUCAUAGGGUAGAAGAAGCACACCCAGGGAAGUGAAACAUCUCAGUACCUGGAGGAAAAGAAACAGACAUGUAUUCCCCUAGUAGUGGCGAACGAACGGGGAGAAGCCCAAACCGUGAAUCGGUAAAACGAUUCGCGGGGUUGUGAGGUCAAAACGAUAGGCUUCGAGCCUGGUAGAGUUUUUUAAAAGAACUUAUAUAGCAGAAGAGCGUGGAACCGCUCACCAAAGAAGGUGAAAGUCCUGUACGCAAAAUAUAAUUUCGCUUUACGGUUUUAAUUCUCGAGUAAGAUGGGACACGUGAAAUCCUAUCUGAAUCUACCGCGACUAUGUGGUAAGGCUAAAUAUGUACAAUGAUCGAUAGUGAACCAGUACCAUGAGGGAAAGGUGAAAAGUACCCCGGAAGGGGAGUGAAAUAGUAUCUGAAACCGUGUGUCUACAACAAAUCGGAGCACGCAAGUGCGACGGUGUGCCUAUUGAAGAAUGACCCAACGAGUUAUAGCAAGCAGCGCGAUUAAUCCCGAAAAGGGAGAAGUCAUAGGGAAACCGAGUGUGAAUAGCGCGUUUAGUUGUUUGCUAUAGACCCGAAACCGUGUGAUCUAUCCAUGACCAGGUUGAACCCUCUGUAACAGGAGGGGGAGGACCGAACCCACGAGUCGUAUAACGCUCGGGGAUGAGUUGUGGAUCGUAGAGAAAUUCUAAUCGAACUCGGUAAUAGCUGGUUCUCUCCGAAAUAUCUUUUGGGAUAGCCCUGUAAACUACCUGUCGGGGGUAGAGCACUGAAUGGGCGUGGAGCCGCAAGGUAUCCACCCUAACCAAACUCCGAAUACCGACAGAGACUAUUACAGGAGUCAGAACGUGGGGGCUAAGCUUCAUGUUUCAAAAGGGAAACAGCCCAGAUCGCCAUCUAAGGUCCCUAAAUCUAUGUUAAGUGUGAAAGGUAGUGAGACGACUUCGACAACCAGGAGGUUGGCUUAGAAGCAGCCAUCCUUUAAAGAAAGCGUAACAGCUCACUGGUCGAGUUAUCUUGCGCCGAAAAUGUAACGGGGCUCAAACAUAGCACCGAAGGUGCGGACUUUAUGCGUUUAACGCAUAGAUUGGUAGGAGAGCGUUCGUUGUGCGACGAAGUCGGACCCGCGAGGGCCUAUGGAGCGCAACGAAGUGAGAAUGUUGGGAUGAGUAACACAAAUUAUUGUGAGAAUCAAUAACAUCGUAAAUCCAAGGUUUCCUGGGCAACGCUGAUCGUCCCAGGGUUAGGCGGUCCUAAGGCGAGGCUGAAAAGCGUAGUCGAUGGACAGACGGUUAAUAUUCCGUCCCUACUAUAUAUUUGUGAUUUUUGACGCUGUCUGAAACUAUGCACGGUCCUAUGGACCGGACCGUUGAUCUAUGUGAACAAUGUAGGUCGCAAGAGUAAGGGGCAACCCGAGCUCAAGGCAUGGGGACAGGGGGCCAAGAAAAGCAAAAUCACGCAUGGUAUAUAGUAUCCGUACCGGAAACCAACACAGGUGGAUGAGGAGAGUAUCCUCAGAUGUACGAGAGAACCCUCGUUUAGGAACUCGGCAAAACAACGGCCGUAACUUCGGGAUAAGGCCUCCCCCCAUAGCGAUAUGAGGGGGUUCAAUGAAAGAUUGGUUGCGACUGUUUAUCAAAAACACAGGUCCCUGCGAAAGCGUAAGCUGAAGUAUAGGGGCUGAUGCCUGGCCAGUGUCCGAACGUUAAGGAAGGGGGUGAGCAAUUUAUUGCGUAGCUCUUGACCGAAGCGCGGAUGAACGCCGGCGAUAACUAUAAUCGUCCUAAGGUUCUCUGUUCUUCUUUUGAAGAAUGGAGAAGAGUUGGGACGGUUGUAGGUAAAGAUAACAGAUGAAAGCUGCCUCGCUCUCUAGUAAUAGAGAGAUGACUCAAAUACAUGACCAUAUGCUGGAAAGUGUAUGCUCACUAUGGUAAAAUCUACACAUAGUAUGCGGAACACCAAUCAGCAGGAAAGAUCCGAAAUCAGUGGAUGGAUAACAGGCUUCGUUGAUGGAGAAGGAUGCUUUUCAGUAAGCAUCAUUCGAAAUUCAACAACACGCCUCGGAUGGCAAGUGUUUCCAGAGUUUGUGGUGACCCAAAGUAGCAAGAGUCAAGCUUCGCUCGAAAUUAUUCAACAUUUUUUCGAGUGUGGAAAGAUUUACGCGAACAGACGUCACGACAAUCACAAAGACACUUUGCUCCGCUUCUGUGUUCGAUCACAGAAAGACUUACGAGAAAAAAUUAUUCCAUUUUUCCAAACGCACACUCUGCGUACAGAAAAAAGAAAAGAUUUUGAACUCUUUGUAUCAAUUCUUGAGAUUAUGCGCGAAGGAGAACAUCAAACGUUUUCCGGAGUGCAAAAAAUCGCUCGAAAAAUACAACAGAUGAAUCGUAAAAUUCCUUCACGAUUUUUGAAAUCCUCAGAGACUACACGUCAUGCUCCUGCUCAAUAAGCAGGAUGAAGAUAUAGUCCAAAGCACAUGGAAGCUUCGAGCGAAAUUCCUUGUCGGGUGAACAAUGUUCCUCCUGGUCGGAGAGAACUUGCCCGAACAGUCUGGUAACAGACUGACAGCAAACUGGCUCAUAACGGUGAAUUCUAACUUUGCGUUUUGCGCAAAUAAGAAAAUACCGUGGGAAGUCGCCACUAUAAGUGGUUGACCCCGUAACGACUGAUCCAUUUUUAUGGAGAGGCUUAUCGCAAGAUGGGCAACACGCCAGCUCUUUUUAAGAAAUUUUCUUGAAGAAGAUGAAGGUAUAGUCUGAUCAAUAUGGAAACAUAUUGCUAACAUGAAGUUCCGACCUGCACGAAUGGCAUAACGACAUCCAAACUCUCUCAACGAGGGACUCGGUGAAAUUACAGGUCCGGUGAAGAUGCCGGAUACCCGCAGCUAGACGAAAAGACCCCGUGAAGCUUUACUACAACUUGGCAUUGAUAUAGCGAAUUAUUUGCUCAGUAUAGGUGGGAGACUUUGAGGCCACGACUUCGGUUGUGGCAGAGUCGAAAUAUGAGAUACCACUCUGAUGAUUUGUUAUGUCUAACCUUCCCCCGUGAAUCCGGGGGCGGAACAGUGUCUGGUGGGUAGUUUAACUGGGGCGGUUGCCUCCUAAAAAAUAACGGAGGCGUUCACAAAGGUUGGCUAGAUUCGAAUGGAAACCGAAUCGAUAGUGCAAAGGCAUAAGCCAGCUUUACUGCAAGACUGACACGUCGCGCAGUUACGAAAGUAGGACUUAGUGAUCCGACCGUACGAAAUAGGACGGCGGAAGCUCAUCGGAUAAAAGUUACUCCGGGGAUAACAGGCUAGUCUGGUCCAAUAGUCCACAUAGACGACCAGGUUCGGCACCUCGAUGUCGGCUCAUCGCAUCCUGGGGGUGAAGCAUCUCCCAAGGGUUUGGCUGUUCGCCAAUUAAAGCGGUACGUGAGUUGGGUUCAGAACGUCGUGAGACAGUUCGGUCUCCUAUCUGCUGUGGGCGUAGAAUUUUGAGGGGUCCAUUCUUUAGUACGAGAGGACCGAGAAUGACGAAGCUCUUGUGUACCGGUUGUCCCACCAGGGGCAUUGCCGGGUAGCGACCUUCGGUUAGGAUAACUGCUGAAAGCAUCUAAGCAGGAAGCCGUCCCCAAGAUAAGAAUUCAUUAUCAGACUCCUAGAAGACCACUAGGUUGAUAGGCUUCAGGUGGAAGCGCAGUAAUGCGUGCAGCCAAGAAGUACUAAUACGUCGAUCUCGACGCG
This 3895-nucleotide ribosomal RNA is filed under the name Candidatus Kerfeldbacteria bacterium. Its description in RNAcentral is "23S ribosomal RNA". It matches the Rfam family "Bacterial large subunit ribosomal RNA". The record is from RNAcentral. Lineage: Bacteria; Candidatus Kerfeldiibacteriota.